UGGCGAUAGCGAAGAGGUCACACCCGUUCCCAUACCGAACACGGAAGUUAAGCUCUUCAGCGCCGAUGGUAGUCGGG
This 77-nucleotide ribosomal RNA is filed under the name Lysinibacillus sphaericus. The record is from RNAcentral. Lineage: Bacteria; Bacillati; Bacillota; Bacilli; Caryophanales; Bacillaceae.